RNAcentral lists this ribosomal RNA (508 nucleotides) under uncultured bacterium. Its description in RNAcentral is "partial 16S ribosomal RNA". It matches the Rfam family "Bacterial small subunit ribosomal RNA", at positions 28 to 507 of the family's 1533-position model. The record is from RNAcentral.
GACGAACGCUGGCGGCGUGCUUAACACAUGCAAGUCGAACGGGCCUUGUCCCCUUUUUUUUUGGGGGUGGGGUUAGUGGCGAACGGGUGAGUAACACGUGAGUAACCUGCCCCUCACUUCUGGAUAACCGCUUGAAAGGGUGGCUAAUACGGGAUGUUCUGGCCUGCUCGCAUGGGUGGGUUUGGGCAGAUUCGACCGGGUUGGGUUGUUUUGGUGGGGGAUGGGCGCGCGGCCUAUCAGCGUGUUGGUGGGGGGAUGGCCUGCCAAGGCUUUGACGGGUCGCGGGCCUGAGAGGGUGCGCGGUCACAGUGGGACAGAGACACGGCACAGACCUCUACGGGAGGCAGCAGUGGGGAAUAUUGCACAAUGGGCGCAAGCCUGAUGCAGCGACGCCGCGUGAGGGAUGGAGGCCUUGGGGUUGUGAACCUCUUUCGCCAGUGAAGAAGGUCCUGCUCUUUGUGGUGGGGUUGACGGUAGCUGGGUUAAUGAAGCGCCGGCUAACUACGUG